GAUGAAGAACGUAGUGAAAUGCGAUACGUAAUGUGAAUUGCAGAAUUCAGUGAAUCAUCGAGUCUUUGAACGCACAUUGCGCCCCCUGGUAUUCCGGGGGGCAUGCCUGUCCGAGCGUCAUUGCUGCCCUCAAGCACGGCUUGUGUGUUGGGCCUCCGUCCUCCUCCCGGGGGACGGGCCCGAAAGGCAGCGGCGGCACCGCGUCCGGUCCUCGAGCGUAUGGGGCUUCGUCACCCGCUCUUGUAGGCCCGGCCGGCGCUUGCCGACACAUCAAUCUUUUUUCCAGGUUGACCUCGGAUCAGGUAGGGAUACCCGCUGAACUUAAGCAUAUCAAAGCGGAGGA
This 343-nucleotide unclassified non-coding RNA is filed under the name soil metagenome. RNAcentral describes it as "partial contains 5.8S ribosomal RNA, internal transcribed spacer 2, and large subunit ribosomal RNA". The stretch from base 1 to 120 matches the Rfam family "5.8S ribosomal RNA", at positions 35 to 154 of the family's 154-position model. The record is from RNAcentral.